Suricata suricatta (meerkat) is the source of this 719-nucleotide long non-coding RNA. RefSeq lists it as uncharacterized. The transcript has 6 exons. The record is from RefSeq and is a predicted model, not a curated record. NCBI's taxonomy places the organism in Eukaryota, Metazoa, Chordata, Mammalia, Carnivora, Herpestidae.
CUUCAGUGUUUUUAAGGGACCAUGAUAUGGAUGGAGUCUGUAACCUCUGCCAUGCUAGUUGAGAAGGCUGAAGCUCAGAAAUGUAAACUUGUCCGAAGUUAAUGACCUUGGAGGUUGGGACUUCUUCGGGCUUUCCUCCUGCAAAUUGUUGAGUACAGAAAACUUAUUAUGGAUCUGGAGAAGCUGCACAGAGUACCCUAUGAUUCUAAUAAUCUCCAACAAGAAGAUAUGCUUUUGAAGAGACUUCCAGAAGAACUGUGAUCCUGGCAUUAGAGUCCUGAUUUGAGCAAAAUCUGUGCCUUCAAGCCCUCCAGCCCCUGUGGUGUCUUCUGAGCUUCUCCAAAGCAGUGGAUCUCAUGAUGAAUUUCCUUCUUCAGCUUCUAUGUGAUUUGUGUAUCGGACUAUGGUGAAGGAGGCCAGCUUCACCUGCGGUCACCGACACUAUGAAAGAGUCCAGAAAUCCAGAAAGCUUCCUUCUGUCACUGUGGAACAGCCAGCAAACACCUUGAAUGGCAAGAGUUUGGUAAUAUUUAGCAAAAUUCAGUUAAGGCAGAUUCAGAUUAAAACUGCUUUCCCAAGCCAAGAACAAAUAGACACCAGACAUUGAUGUGGAGGGAAACACAGCUGAUCACACAGUUUUCUAAUCCCUUUUGUUUAGAGUAAAAUAUUUACAUUUAUUUUUUUUAAUGAUGAGCAAUCCUUUCUAAUGAAAAGGUGAC